Molecule: non-coding RNA, 2342 nt
Organism: Microcebus murinus (gray mouse lemur)
Lineage: Eukaryota; Metazoa; Chordata; Mammalia; Primates; Cheirogaleidae
Source: the annotation of a RefSeq genome assembly
ACGGCAGGCGCUACUCACAGCACUUCCUGUUAUUAAAUCCUUUGAUCCCAGCCACUGCACAAUCCACACAUUUUCAGCGUCACCCACUUCACAGCUGGGGAGUCUCUGGCCCAGAUUUCUACAGAUGGGACGACACGCAGGGAGAACAACUGGCCUGUGGUCACAACCAGACAGCGGCCGACCCAGGAGCAGAACCCUGGGUCCCCUGCCAUGGAGGGAGCAAGGGGAGUGUCCCCACCUCUGUCCACACACUCAGGGAGGACAGUGCACCUGAUGAAAGAGGAGAGGGUGGUGACAAGAGGAACCCGGAGCCCUGGCACGGGGGGAGAGGCAGGGCAGGGAUGGCUGGAGCGUCAGGCUCUGAGCUGAGUGUCCUGGAUGGACUCUUGACCACACUCACUGCUGUCUCUGGACUGUGGCAAAAUCAUGUCACCUCCUGAUGUUGGUUCUCUCAUGAGUAGACUGGAUGGAGAUUGUGCCUUAAGCAAAGGGCUGCUGUGGGGUUAUGAUGAAUGCCCUUUUAGGACGGUGCCUGUAAAACCCUCAGCAGUGUCUGGCAUGUAUCUGGUGCUCAGAGGCAGUCACUGUGCAUGAACUAGUGACACAAGUAAGGUGUCUUUCCUCCUGUGGACACCAGGGGGCACUGUGGGCCUUGGCUUGGGGACCAGAGUAACUCCAGUUCCCUGGUAGAGCUCAGGUGCAAAGGGCAGGACUGCUGCUCCCUGGGAUCACCUGUCUAUUAGGUGAACUCCGUGCUCCACACAUGAAAACCUCCUUCUCCUGCCUUGGAACCUGGAAAACUGGCAGCCUGGGGCCCUCAGGCUCAGCGCUCAGACUAGGGCUCAGAGAGACACUGGGGGAUGGGCAGGGCUCUGUGUCACUGCUCAGCAGGGAGCAGCCCCUCAAGUCACCAGAGGAAGGAAGCAGAUUUGCAUGAAGAGCCUCCCCUCCUGUGAUAAGCCAGCCCCACAGGUCCCUCCCCAUCUGUGGGUCAGAGGCAGAGCUCCGGGUGUCACCAUGGCCUGGACCCCUCUCCUGCUCCCCCUCCUCACUCUCUGCACAGGUUCUGUGGCCUCUCAGGUGACUCAGGUGCCUGCAGUGUCUGUGGCCUUGGGACAGACGGCCAGGAUCACCUGCCAGGGAGACAGCUUAAGUAGCUACUAUCCCGGCUGGUACCAGCAGAAGCCCAGCCAGGCCCCUGUGCUGGUCGUCUAUGGUAACAACGAGCGACCCUCAGGGAUCCCUGAGCGAUUCUCUGGCUCCAAAUCGGGCAACACGGCCACGCUGACCAUCAGCGGGGCCCAGGUCGAGGAUGAGGCUGAUUAUUACUGCGGCUCAUAUGCGGGCAGCGGCACUUUCCACAUUGGUCCAAGUUCAUGGGGAAGUGAGACCAAAACCUGCCCUGUGCUCACAGGCUCUCUCUCUGUUAGGAAGACGCUUCCUCUGCCCUGUCCAGAGGAGGCUUCAUGCACAUGACCUUGAGAAUUCUCUCCUCUCACCGCCUCUCCCCUCUCCCACUGAGGUUCGCAAAGUACCCUGCUCUCUGGUGGACUUUCUGUAGCCAUGGAAGCUUCUUCUUAGAUAGGGUGACACGAUGCUUGAACAUGCAACUCUUUCAAACUUUUCCAUGUCGUGAGGAGCGUGACCAGCAGACGCCUACUCAGUGCAGCUCCUGCAGUUCUCAGGGACAUCCUCACAGCAAGUGUCCCCACCUCCCCACUGGCAUGGCAGCCUGAACCCAGUUCUCCAGGCAUGGCCUUGUCUCUUUUAACUCUGUGUCCACCACGCUCAAGGCAGAAUCACCUCCUCGAUGGCUGUUCCACUGCACGUCUCUCCCAAGUGGCUGUAACUCAGGAUAGAUCUCAAAAUGUCGCCAAGGAAAGAAGACAAAGGGAAAGAUUGGUUCCUUUUAGUGUGCUGUCUUUGAUGCAUAUGCAAGGGGUCGGGUAGGGAGCCCGAGUGACAGAGUUGUGCCACAUCAGCACAGACCCCCUUACCAACAAAUGACCUGCUGUCCUGGAAUCAGCUAUGCAUGGGGAUGGCCCCCUCCUAAGGGUGGGCUUUUCUCUUUGGUUUGGGGGGGUUUGUGUAGCGACAGAGUCUCGCCAUGUUGCCUGGGCCGCUAUGGAACUCCUGGCCUCAAGCGAUCCACCCUCCUUGUUCUCCCAAAGUGCUGGGAUUACAGUCAUGAGACACAAUGCCUGGCCUGAUUUUCUCAAAUCUUUCUUCCUUCUACAAGAAAGGGGCGUUUGGUGGGUCUGUCCCCAUUGUCAGGGUUUGCCAGAGUAUCAGCUUUCUGUGUAGAUCCAAACAGCUUCCUAGCUGGGAUCACAUGCACUGUA